Molecule: ribosomal RNA, 253 nt
Filed under: uncultured bacterium
Lineage: Bacteria
Description: partial 16S ribosomal RNA
Rfam family: Bacterial small subunit ribosomal RNA
Source: RNAcentral
UACAGAGGGGGCAAGCGUUGCUCGGAAUUACUGGGCGUAAAGAGCGUGUAGGCGGCUUGUUAAGUCUUGCGUGAAAUCUCGGGGCUCAACCCCGAGCGGUCGUGAGAAACUGGCAGGCUAGAGUGCGGGAGAGGAGAGUGGAAUUCCUGGUGUAGCGGUGAAAUGCGCAGAUAUCAGGAAGAACACCCGUGGCGAAGGCGGCUCUCUGGAACGCAACUGACGCUGAGACGCGAAAGCGUGGGGAGCAAACAGG